CUGAGUACUACACUCUCUACCCUUUGUGAACUAUUAUACCUGUUGCUUCGGCGGCGCCCGCGAGGGUGCCCCGCCGGUCUCAUCAGAAUCUCUGUUUUCGAACCCGACGAUACUUCUGAGUGUUCUUAGCGAACUGUCA
Molecule: unclassified non-coding RNA, 139 nt
Filed under: soil metagenome
Description: partial internal transcribed spacer 1
Source: RNAcentral